AGAAACGCUACGUAACGGCAUGAAAGUUUUUUUUUUUUUUUUUUUUUUUUU
Molecule: non-coding RNA, 51 nt
Filed under: Prorocentrum micans
Lineage: Eukaryota; Dinophyceae; Prorocentrales; Prorocentraceae
Source: RNAcentral